AUCGCUUCUCGGCCUUUUGGCUAAGAUCAUGUGUAGAACAUUAAAAACAUCUAGCAAUUUUGAUGUUACAAACAUAGUGUGUUUCAUUGGUGAUAUUUAUACAAGAAGGCAUAUCAGCCUUGGUUGGGCACUCACUUCCUGUUUUUUAGUGCUUACUGUUUUUCUUGUUUUAAUAUGACAUUU
Molecule: small RNA, 183 nt
Filed under: Marmota monax (woodchuck)
Lineage: Eukaryota; Metazoa; Chordata; Mammalia; Rodentia; Sciuridae
Source: RNAcentral